Molecule: ribosomal RNA, 587 nt
Filed under: uncultured Planctomycetota bacterium
Lineage: Bacteria; Pseudomonadati; Planctomycetota
Description: bacterial SSU rRNA
Rfam family: Bacterial small subunit ribosomal RNA
Source: RNAcentral
UGGCUGCAGUCGAGGAUCUUCGGCAAUGGGCGCAAGCCUGACCGAGCGACGCCGCGUGCGGGAUGAAGGCCUUCGGGUUGUAAACCGCUGUCGUAGAGGAGGAAAUGCAGGAGGGUUCUCCCUUCUGUUUGACCUAUUCUAGGAGGAAGUACGGGCUAAGUUCGUGCCAGCAGCCGCGGUAAGACGAACCGUACAAACGUUACUCGGAAUUACUGGGCUUAAAGGGUGCGUGGGCUGCGCGGAAAGUUGGGUGUGAAAGCCCUCGGCUCAACCGAGGAAUUGCACUCAAAACUACCGUGCUUGAGGGAGACAGAGGUAAGCGGAACUCAAGGUGGAGCGGUGAAAUGCGUUGAUAUCUUGAGGAACACCGGUGGCGAAGGCGGCUUACUGGGUCUUUUCUGACGCUGAGGCACGAAAGCUAAGGUAGCAAACGGGAUUAGAUACCCCGGUAGUCUUAGCUGUAAACGAUGAGCACUUGAUUGGAGGGUCCUCCAUAGCCUUCCAGUCGUAGCGAAAGUGUUAAGUGCUCCGCCUGGGGAGUAUGGUCGCAAGGCUGAAACUCAAAGAAAUUGACGGGGGCUCACACA